GUGCUCGCUUCAGCAGCACAUAUACUAAAAUUGGAAUGAUACAGAGACGAUUAGCACAGCCCCUGCGCAUGCAAAUUUGUGAAGAAAAACCAUUUCUA
Molecule: small nuclear RNA, 98 nt
Filed under: Vombatus ursinus (common wombat)
Lineage: Eukaryota; Metazoa; Chordata; Mammalia; Diprotodontia; Vombatidae
Source: RNAcentral